Molecule: ribosomal RNA, 253 nt
Filed under: uncultured bacterium
Lineage: Bacteria
Description: partial 16S ribosomal RNA
Rfam family: Bacterial small subunit ribosomal RNA
Source: RNAcentral
UACGUAGGGUGCGAGCGUUAAUCGGAAUUACUGGGCGUAAAGGGUGCGCAGGCGGUUAUAUAAGACAGAUGUGAAAUCCCCGGGCUCAACCUGGGAACUGCGUUUGUGACUGUAUGACUAGAGUACGGUAGAGAGGGGUGGAAUUCCUGGUGUAGCAGUGAAAUGCGUAGAUAUCAGGAGGAAUACCGAUGGCGAAGGCAGGUCUCUGGGCUGACACUGACGCUCAUGCACGAAAGCGUGGGGAGCAAACAGG